Molecule: ribosomal RNA, 850 nt
Filed under: Limosilactobacillus fermentum
Lineage: Bacteria; Bacillati; Bacillota; Bacilli; Lactobacillales; Lactobacillaceae
Description: bacterial SSU rRNA
Rfam family: Bacterial small subunit ribosomal RNA
Source: RNAcentral
UCACUUCUGGAUGGACCUGCGGUGCAUUAGCUUGUUGGUGGGGUAACGGCCUACCAAGGCGAUGAUGCAUAGCCGAGUUGAGAGACUGAUCGGCCACAAUGGGACUGAGACACGGCCCAUACUCCUACGGGAGGCAGCAGUAGGGAAUCUUCCACAAUGGGCGCAAGCCUGAUGGAGCAACACCGCGUGAGUGAAGAAGGGUUUCGGCUCGUAAAGCUCUGUUGUUAAAGAAGAACACGUAUGAGAGUAACUGUUCAUACGUUGACGGUAUUUAACCAGAAAGUCACGGCUAACUACGUGCCAGCAGCCGCGGUAAUACGUAGGUGGCAAGCGUUAUCCGGAUUUAUUGGGCGUAAAGAGAGUGCAGGCGGUUUUCUAAGUCUGAUGUGAAAGCCUUCGGCUUAACCGGAGAAGUGCAUCGGAAACUGGAUAACUUGAGUGCAGAAGAGGGUAGUGGAACUCCAUGUGUAGCGGUGGAAUGCGUAGAUAUAUGGAAGAACACCAGUGGCGAAGGCGGCUACCUGGUCUGCAACUGACGCUGAGACUCGAAAGCAUGGGUAGCGAACAGGAUUAGAUACCCUGGUAGUCCAUGCCGUAAACGAUGAGUGCUAGGUGUUGGAGGGUUUCCGCCCUUCAGUGCCGGAGCUAACGCAUUAAGCACUCCGCCUGGGGAGUACGACCGCAAGGUUGAAACUCAAAGGAAUUGACGGGGGCCCGCACAAGCGGUGGAGCAUGUGGUUUAAUUCGAAGCUACGCGAAGAACCUUACCAGGUCUUGACAUCUUGCGCCAACCCUAGAGAUAGGGCGUUUCCUUCGGGAACGCAAUGACAGGUGGUGCAUGGUCGUCGUC